Numida meleagris (helmeted guineafowl) is the source of this 786-nucleotide long non-coding RNA. RefSeq lists it as uncharacterized. Lineage: Eukaryota; Metazoa; Chordata; Aves; Galliformes; Numididae. The transcript has 3 exons. The record is from RefSeq and is a predicted model, not a curated record.
AUUUCUUCCUGGAGAUCCCUUCUUGGUGGGAGCAUUUCCCUGCGAGCCCAAAAUCUUCCAAUCCAGGCAAGAACUGGAAAUAAAGGAGAGGGAUGUGACCACAUUAACAUAAGCCAAACUGAGCAGAGGGUCUCUACGUACAGUGCCACAACUUGUCCGUCACUGUGGAGAAGACAAGGCUGUGAGGCAGGUGCUUGGAGACCCGUACUGAAUUAUGCACAGCAGAAAAUCUGCAAAAUAUACUUCAAGAGCUGGAAAUUUACCGUGUGUGACUGAAAAUUGCAGAGAGGCAGAACCCAAAUUUCCAGAUUAACUAUUUCAUCAAUUAAAGCUGCAUUUGCAAUCCUUUCUUAUUUGUCUGCCCAUCUGCGUCUACUGCUGAUACAAAGCCAUCAUCGUAACAGAAAUUGAAAUGGAUAUUUGAUGCCCUGUGCCUACGGCAGCCUAAGGGUUUGGGGAGCAUUUUUUGUUUGUUUGUUUUGUUUGUUUUAAAGAAUAGGAGUUCCAGCUAAUUAAUUUUUUCCAUGUAUUUGCUUUAGUUUGUGGAAUUCCAUAGUUCCUAUUAAGUAGAGGCAGGUAAUUAAGUAAGAAAAUGAAGCAAGCUUUGCCACACACAUUGUGUUUACAGAGUUGAAAGGGCAACUUUUAUAUUUGGGAUAAUGCGGUACCUGGUUACGCAGGAACACACAACUCCAUCCCAUUCUCAACAUAUUUUGCAAGCAUACUUCAACCCUCCAGCCUCUCAUGAGUUCAGCUGCAUCCUCAGUGUGUCUUUCAGCUCUGUAA